GACGAACGCUGGCGGCGUGCUUAACACAUGCAAGUCGAACGGAAAGGCCCUGCUUUUGUGGUGUGCUCGAGUGGCGAACGGGUGAGUAACACGUGAGUAACCUGCCCUUGACUUUGGGAUAACUUCAGGAAACUGGGGCUAAUACCGGAUAGGAGCUCCUGCUGCAUGGUAGGGGUUGGAAAGUUUCGGCGGUUGGGGAUGGACUCGCGGCUUAUCAGCUUGUUGGUGGGGUAGUGGCUUACCAAGGCUUUGACGCGUAGCCGGCCUGAGAGGGUGACCGGCCACAUUGGGACUGAGAUACGGCCCAGACUCCUACGGGAGGCAGCAGUGGGGAAUAUUGCACAAUGGGCGGAAGCCUGAUGCAGCAACGCCGCGUGCGGGAUGACGGCCUUCGGGUUGUAAACCGCUUUCGCCUGUGACGAAGCGGGAGUGACGGUAAUGGGUAAAGAAGCACCGGCUAACUACGUG
RNAcentral lists this ribosomal RNA (468 nucleotides) under uncultured bacterium. RNAcentral's name for it is "partial 16S ribosomal RNA". It matches the Rfam family "Bacterial small subunit ribosomal RNA", at positions 28 to 507 of the family's 1533-position model. The record is from RNAcentral.